Molecule: ribosomal RNA, 253 nt
Filed under: uncultured bacterium
Lineage: Bacteria
Description: partial 16S ribosomal RNA
Rfam family: Bacterial small subunit ribosomal RNA
Source: RNAcentral
UACAGAGGUCCCGAGCGUUGUUCGGAUUCACUGGGCGUAAAGGGUGCGUAGGUGGUGGGGUAAGUCUGAUGUGAAAUCUCUGAGCUCAACUCAGAAAUUGCAUUAGAAACUACCUUGCUAGAGGAUUGGAGGGGGGACUGGAAUUCUCGGUGUAGCAGUGAAAUGCGUAGAUAUCAGGAGGAACACCUGCGGUGUAGACGGCUUACUGGACCAUCACUGACGCUGAGGCACGAAAGCGUGGGUAGCAAACAGG